Molecule: long non-coding RNA, 1248 nt
Filed under: Helianthus annuus (common sunflower)
Lineage: Eukaryota; Viridiplantae; Streptophyta; Magnoliopsida; Asterales; Asteraceae
Description: hypothetical non coding rna
Source: RNAcentral
GAGGCUCCACGGUCGAUGGCAUCAACCGUCAAGCUGUUUGAUUGGUUUUUCUUUAUUUAUUGUGCUUUGCCUAUAAAUACAAGCCAACCCCAACAUUUUUUUACCUACCUCUUUUGCUCUAAACUUUUUAAAUAAUAUCCUAAGAUAUAUCUCUUUGGUUCCCUUAAUAUUUUUACAUCAAAUCAAAGAGAUUCAAGAUAAAGAGAAAAGGCAAAAAAGAAGAGUUUGUGCCACAAGAAAUUAUCCGUUCUUGUAUAUUCCAGGGUUAUUUAUUUGUAUUUGUGAGGAAUUUGUAAGGGGUGUCAUUAAACUUGUUUACUGAUUGGAAAUAGUGGUGAUCACUACCACUUGAGUUAGUGAGACGUAGAAGGUGAUCUCCUUGAAAAGAGUGAGACGUUUGUACAAGGUGAUCACUGCCUUUGUUUAGUGAUACGAUUGUGUAACGGGUAUCCCUAACAGAUUAGGGAAGGAUAAUAGUGUAGAAACUCUCGAUCGGGGAGAGGACAUAGAGAGAUUAGUUAACAUCUCUUGAACCUCUAUAAGUCGAUUUUGUCAUCUCUUCACUUAACCCUUUAAAUACUUGCACAUAUUAUUAUCUUUGUUCACAGGAGUAUUAUUUGAUUCAAACAAGUGUGUAAUUAGGUUAAUUCAAGUGUUUAACAAAGAAAUUUAAGAAAACCUAUUCACCCCUAGUUUUCUACAACAUUAUAUAAACUCAUAUACUUAUGUCUACAAAGAUAAAUGAACUCGUAAGCUCAGUGUAAGCAAAAGAUGCAACACUAGUUGGUAUUAGAAACAAAAUGAUUACGAUGGUAGUAUUGGUUGGUAGAUGGAUGGAAUAGAGUAGGAAGGGUCUAAGGUUGGACUGAAUGGGGCCAGGAAGAAGCGGGACAAGACGAAAUAGGCUGAUGUAGCAAGGGGCGUGAGAUGGAGAAGAAGGUUGAGCGGCAUGACUAUUCUAGCUUGACGAUGCAAGAGUAGCGAGAUACGUGAAUCGGGACGUGAGAGAGUGAUGCGCGUGUGGUGUCGUAUGUUUUUAUAUAUAUUUUUAGCCCUUUUUUACACGUUAGUCAAGUUUUAAAUUUAUAAAACACGAUAUUUUACUAACACCAAACACACAUAUGGGCAAGUGCACCCAUCGUGAGUUGGUAAGAUACCGAGGUCGUCCAAGGACACAAGAGCUUUUAAUACCGGUUUAUCCUCAACGUUUAAUCAAAUCAAAAGUUUAGAAAAAUGUUUUAAACUAGA